This 440-nucleotide ribosomal RNA is filed under the name uncultured bacterium. RNAcentral's name for it is "partial 16S ribosomal RNA". It matches the Rfam family "Bacterial small subunit ribosomal RNA", at positions 338 to 795 of the family's 1533-position model. The record is from RNAcentral.
CCUACGGGUGGCAGCAGUGGGGAAUAUUGCACAAUGGGGGAAACCCUGAUGCAGCGACGCCGCGUGAAGGAAGAAGUAUCUCGGUAUGUAAACUUCUAUCAGCAGGGAAGUAAAGGACGGUACCUGACCAAGAAGCCCUGGCUAACUACGUGCCAGCAGCCGUGGUAAUACGGAGGCGGCAAGCGUUAUCCGGAUUUACUGGGUGUAAAGGGAGCGUAGGCGGCGAUGCAAGUCAGAAGUGAAAGUCCGGGGCUCAACUCCGGGACUGCUUUUGAAACUGUGUUGCUAGAGUGCAGGAGAGGUAGGUGGAAUUCGUGGUGUAGCGGUGAAAUGCGUAGAUAUUAGGAAGAACACCAAUGGCGAAGGCAGCUUACUGGACUGUAAAUGACGCUGAGGCUCGAAAGCGUGGGGAGCAAACAGGAUUAGAUACCCUAGUAGUC